Molecule: transfer RNA, 75 nt
Filed under: Leptospiraceae bacterium
Lineage: Bacteria; Pseudomonadati; Spirochaetota; Leptospiria; Leptospirales; Leptospiraceae
Description: tRNA-Gln
Rfam family: tRNA
About the family: Transfer RNA (tRNA) molecules are approximately 80 nucleotides in length. Their secondary structure includes four short double-helical elements and three loops (D, anti-codon, and T loops). Further hydrogen bonds mediate the characteristic L-shaped molecular structure. tRNAs have two regions of fundamental functional importance: the anti-codon, which is responsible for specific mRNA codon recognition, and the 3' end, to which the tRNAs corresponding amino acid is attached (by aminoacyl-tRNA synthetases). tRNAs cope with the degeneracy of the genetic code in two manners: having more than one tRNA (with a specific anti-codon) for a particular amino acid; and 'wobble' base-pairing, i.e. permitting non-standard base-pairing at the 3rd anti-codon position.
Source: RNAcentral
UGGGCUGUCGCCAAGUGGUAAGGCAGCUGGUUUUGAUCCAGCCAUUCCCAGGUUCGAUCCCUGGCAGCCCAGCCA